AUCUUUGUUGCUCCUAGAUGUGAUACCUCUGACUUCUACAUGAAUCUACUCACCAUACCUAUAAUAUAUGCUAGACCAGGCCUUGUCUGAUAAAGGUAUGUUAUUAACCAAAUAAGUCUUCUGUACUAUGUUAGGUCGACAUCAUCUUCAUUUGAAUUUUUUGAUAGGUUCAGUCUUGGUUCAACAGGUGUUGAAGUUU
RNAcentral lists this long non-coding RNA (199 nucleotides) under Lathyrus oleraceus (garden pea). Its description in RNAcentral is "Pisum sativum (pea) long non-coding RNA (PSAT_LNC004245)". Lineage: Eukaryota; Viridiplantae; Streptophyta; Magnoliopsida; Fabales; Fabaceae. The record is from RNAcentral.